Molecule: long non-coding RNA, 468 nt
Organism: Sebastes umbrosus (honeycomb rockfish)
Lineage: Eukaryota; Metazoa; Chordata; Actinopteri; Perciformes; Sebastidae
Exons: 3
Source: RefSeq, a predicted model, not a curated record
UUUAGCCUAGCCUAUAGCAUCCUGCUAGCAAGGCCCUGCACUUGUUACACUGUGGUGGCAGUGCAUCAGCUACCAUUAGCCUGCUCUGCCCAACGUAAUGCAGUGGAAUACAGACAAGUGUAGCGUACUGAAGCCCAGUCUAGUGGAGUGCUGUGUGCAAGAUCAUAGCAAGACUCCUUGCUAGCAUAUGCUUGUGUUUAAUGCAGCGACCUGCUUCUGCAUGGGUCUGAGUUAACUUUGGGACUCUCCAGUUUCUUCAUUCCUCGCCGCUGAGCCAGGCUGGAGGACUGAACAGGCUCCAGGACCGGAGCAGGAGCGCAGCGCUUCAGAGCAGAUUACCAGUGGGCGUUCUGGAGGUGAACUCAGGGUCAAAAUGGAAAGUGUCUUCAGGUCUUCCGACUGACGGUUUGAAAGGAGGCCUCAAUUCCUUCCUGUACAACUUCUACAGAAAACAACAACAAUGAUCAA